UUCAAAAGUAUCAAUCAAUCAUAUUUUUGAGGUAGCAAUUCCAGCUCAUAUGACUGCUUCAGAGCUCACUACCUUGAACGGCAUAUUCUGUUACAAGGUGUUAUCCCAAAUAUGCAUUCAUCUUAUGGUCGCUGUAGUAGGAUUGGUUCUACCAACUGCUUUCGUUUCCUAAUUUGUCAAUAUUUUUCACUGGCGGAAGUUCUGAUCAAAUCUUCUGUCAACGAUGUUCAUCUUUCCUCGUCUUUAUUACUAUUUUCUCACUCUUGAUAUUUUCUUUUGGUUGUUGCAGUUGAUAGAGUUACUCACUGUUGUUGAUUUUUUCGUCGUUGUCGUGAAGAUGGCGUUAUUGUGUCAAUAGUGGUUUCCAGUCUCAGGCCUGGUUGCACAAAUUCUUGUUAAAUUUAAAUCAUGAUUGAAUUCCACGAAAACCAAUCAGAGAACACCCAGAGAAGGCUCCUCUGAUUGGUUCUCUGGGUAUUUAAUAACGGUUUAAAUUUAACAGGCUUUUCUGCAACAGAGACUUAAUCUCAGUUUUGGUUGGAGGGUGUUUUUUGACUGAGGAUAUUUGUUUUCUGUUAUCUUUUCCAGAAAUGUCAAAUUGAAAGUGAGGUGAUUGAGGUGGCUGAGACUCGUUGAGAGGAUGAGUGUCUCAAGAUUGUAAAACAGGUCCUCAGAAACAACCCAGGAGGAAGAAGGCUGAGAAGACGUCCGCGAAAGCGUUGGCUGGAGGAUUUGGAGGACGAUAUUAGGAAGCUGGGUGACAGGGGAUGGAGACGUAAGGCUGCUGAUAGAGACGAAUGGAGAGGCUUUCUGAAGGAGGUCAAGGCUCUGAAUUAGCUGUAGUGCCAAGGAAUUAUAAAAUUUCAUCUUCAUUCUCAUAGACGAACAUUGGAAUACCUUCUAUAGAGUGAAGUUCUUCCACUUUUCUUAUAGUGAAGCCUAUGUUCUUACGUCCGGAAUUUUAUUAGUGAAGUUCAGUACCGAAGUUAAUUAAUGCAAUUAAAACAGUGAUAAUUCAGUGGUUAGUGAAGUAAAUAUGUAUAACUGUUUGCACUUCAAGACGAAGGUUUGGCUACCCUACUUCAUGACUCAAAGGUUUUUUCGCAGACAAUUAAUGAGGUGUGUCGACCGUCUGAGGUGCUUUGAGGUUGGUAGCCUUUCUGAAAGGUCUCCUCCUAGUAUUGUGCAUAGUAAUGGUCUCUCAGGGUAGUCGAACAUCGGUGGCACAGUCUUCUCAUCCUAGUAGUUGACCUCCAUGACAAGCUCGUACUGUACUUGUACCUCCACACCACUCGGCAAUAGUGCGCCACUGACAGCCAAUCCUCACCAUUGAGCAAUCGUAUCAGUUGAAUAUCAUCUAUAUACUAGCCGUCAGGCUCGCUUCGCUCGCCAUAUCCGUCUAGCCAGGGGGCUCCGCCCCCUGGACCCCUCGACUGGAUCGUCCAAG
This is a long non-coding RNA of Nilaparvata lugens (brown planthopper), 1447 nucleotides long. RefSeq lists it as uncharacterized. The record is from RefSeq and is a predicted model, not a curated record. The transcript is spliced from 3 exons. Lineage: Eukaryota; Metazoa; Arthropoda; Insecta; Hemiptera; Delphacidae.